AGAGUUUGAUCCUGGCUCAGAACGAACGCUGGCGGCGCGUUUAAAGCAUGCAAGUCGAACGGACGUAUACCACUUCGGUGGUAUAGAGUUAGUGGCGAACGGGUGAGUAACGCGUAGAUGAUCUACCUUCAGGCGAGGGACAGUCCUGCGAAAGCGGGUUUAAUACCUCGUAAAGUAUAUGCUUUAGAUAGUGUAUAUGAAAGGCUUCGGUCGCCUGGAGAUGAGUCUGCGUACCAUUAGUUAGUUGGUGGGGUAAGAGCCUACCAAGACGAAGAUGGUUAGCCGGUCUGAGAGGAUGGACGGCCACAUUGGGACUGAGAUACGGCCCAGACUCCUACGGGAGGCAGCAGCUAAGAAUCUUCCGCAAUGGACGAUAGUCUGACGGAGCGACGCCGCGUGAACGAUGAAGGCCUUAUGGGUUGUAAAGUUCUUUUCAUAUGGAUAAAUGUAUUACUAUAGGUAAUGUUGAUGUUACAUAUGGAAUAAGCCCCGGCUAAUUACGUGCCAGCAGCCGCGGUAAUACGUAAGGGGCAAGCGUUGUUCGGAAUUAUUGGGCAUAAAGGGCGAGUAGGCGGUCUUGUAAGUUAUAGGUGGAAAGUUGAGGCUCAACCUCAAGUCGUGCCUGUAAAACUGCAGGACUAGAGUAUAGGAGAGGAUGCUGGAAUUCCUGGUGUAGGGGUGGAAUCUAUAGAUAUCAGGAGGAACACCUGUGGCGUAGGCGAGCAUCUGGCCUAAUACUGACGCUGAGGCGCGAAAGCGUGGGUAGCAAACAGGAUUAGAUACCCUGGUAGUCCACGCAGUAAACGUUGUAUACUAGGUGUAUGGGGUAUCGAUCCCCUGUGUGCCGUAGCAAAUGUAAUAAGUAUACCGCCUGGGGAGUAUGCCGGCAACGGUGAAACUCAAAGGAAUUGACGGGGGCCCGCACAAGCGGUGGAGCAUGUGGUUUAAUUCGAUGAUACGCGAAGAACCUUACCUGGGUUUGACAUUCUGACUGAUGGAUAAGAGAUUAUUCAGCCCUUUUGGGGGUCAGGACAGGUGCUGCAUGGCUGUCGUCAGCUCAUGUCGUGAGAUGUUGGGUUAAGUCCCGCAACGAGCGCAACCCUCAUGAUUAGUUGCCAUCUGGUAGAGCAGGCCACUCUAAUCAAACUGCCGGACGUAAGCCGGAGGAAGGUGGGGAUGACGUCAAGUCCUCAUGGCCUUUAUAUCCAGGGCUACACACGUGCUACAAUGGUUGGUACAAAGAGGAGCGAUAUCGCGAGGUGGAGCAAAUCUCAUAAAGCCAAUCAUAGUUCGGAUUGGAGUCUGAAACCCGACUCCAUGAAGCUGGAAUCGCUAGUAAUCGCAGAUCAGCACGCUGCGGUGAAUACGUUCCCGGGCCUUGUACACACCGCCCGUCACACCACCCGAGUUGGAUGUACCCGAAGUCGCUGUGCUAACCUUUUAGGGAGUAGGUGCCGAAGGUAUGUUUAGUGAGGGGGGUGAAGUCGUAACAAGGUA
RNAcentral lists this ribosomal RNA (1497 nucleotides) under metagenome. RNAcentral describes it as "bacterial SSU rRNA". It matches the Rfam family "Bacterial small subunit ribosomal RNA". The record is from RNAcentral.